Molecule: ribosomal RNA, 610 nt
Filed under: uncultured bacterium
Lineage: Bacteria
Description: bacterial SSU rRNA
Rfam family: Bacterial small subunit ribosomal RNA (bases 1-535)
Source: RNAcentral
CCUACGGGAGGCAGCAGUAAGGAAUAUUGGACAAUGGACGCAAGUCUGAUCCAGCCAUGCCGCGUGAAGGAUUAAGGCCCUCUGGGUUGUAAACUUCUUUUAUAGGGGACGAAAAAAGGGCUUUCUAGCUCGACUGACGGUACCCUAUGAAUAAGCACCGGCUAACUCCGUGCCAGCAGCCGCGGUAAUACGGAGGGUGCAAGCGUUAUCCGGAUUCACUGGGUUUAAAGGGUGCGUAGGCGGGUAGGUAAGUCAGUGGUGAAAUCUUCGAGCUCAACUCGGAAACUGCCAUUGAUACUAUUUAUCUUGAAUAUUGUGGAGGUGAGCGGAAUAUGUCAUGUAGCGGUGAAAUGCUUAGAUAUGACAUAGAACACCAAUUGCGUAGGCAGCUCGCUACACAUAUAUUGACGCUGAGGCACGAAAGCGUGGGGAUCAAACAGGAUUAGAUACCCUGGUAGUCCACGCCCUAAACUAUGAUUACUCGACAUAUGCGAUACACUGUAUGUGUUNUGAGNGAAGANAUAAGUAAUACACCNGGAGACGACCGACGAGUAGUAAAGUUAAAUAGUAGUAGAGNGNGAGAGNGCGAGGACGACACGAGGGGAGGAGG